Molecule: ribosomal RNA, 1531 nt
Filed under: Salmonella enterica subsp. enterica serovar Typhi str. Ty2
Lineage: Bacteria; Pseudomonadati; Pseudomonadota; Gammaproteobacteria; Enterobacterales; Enterobacteriaceae
Description: bacterial SSU rRNA
Rfam family: Bacterial small subunit ribosomal RNA
Source: RNAcentral
AGAGUUUGAUCAUGGCUCAGAUUGAACGCUGGCGGCAGGCCUAACACAUGCAAGUCGAACGGUAACAGGAAGCAGCUUGGCUGCUUUGCUGACGAGUGGCGGACGGGUGAGUAAUGUCUGGGAAACUGCCUGAUGGAGGGGGAUAACUACUGGAAACGGUGGCUAAUACCGCAUAACGUCGCAAGACCAAAGAGGGGGACCUUCGGGCCUCUUGCCAUCAGAUGUGCCCAGAUGGGAUUAGCUUGUUGGUGAGGUAACGGCUCACCAAGGCGACGAUCCCUAGCUGGUCUGAGAGGAUGACCAGCCACACUGGAACUGAGACACGGUCCAGACUCCUACGGGAGGCAGCAGUGGGGAAUAUUGCACAAUGGGCGCAAGCCUGAUGCAGCCAUGCCGCGUGUAUGAAGAAGGCCUUCGGGUUGUAAAGUACUUUCAGCGGGGAGGAAGGUGUUGUGGUUAAUAACCGCAGCAAUUGACGUUACCCGCAGAAGAAGCACCGGCUAACUCCGUGCCAGCAGCCGCGGUAAUACGGAGGGUGCAAGCGUUAAUCGGAAUUACUGGGCGUAAAGCGCACGCAGGCGGUCUGUCAAGUCGGAUGUGAAAUCCCCGGGCUCAACCUGGGAACUGCAUUCGAAACUGGCAGGCUUGAGUCUUGUAGAGGGGGGUAGAAUUCCAGGUGUAGCGGUGAAAUGCGUAGAGAUCUGGAGGAAUACCGGUGGCGAAGGCGGCCCCCUGGACAAAGACUGACGCUCAGGUGCGAAAGCGUGGGGAGCAAACAGGAUUAGAUACCCUGGUAGUCCACGCCGUAAACGAUGUCUACUUGGAGGUUGUGCCCUUGAGGCGUGGCUUCCGGAGCUAACGCGUUAAGUAGACCGCCUGGGGAGUACGGCCGCAAGGUUAAAACUCAAAUGAAUUGACGGGGGCCCGCACAAGCGGUGGAGCAUGUGGUUUAAUUCGAUGCAACGCGAAGAACCUUACCUGGUCUUGACAUCCACAGAACUUUCCAGAGAUGGAUUGGUGCCUUCGGGAACUGUGAGACAGGUGCUGCAUGGCUGUCGUCAGCUCGUGUUGUGAAAUGUUGGGUUAAGUCCCGCAACGAGCGCAACCCUUAUCCUUUGUUGCCAGCGGUCCGGCCGGGAACUCAAAGGAGACUGCCAGUGAUAAACUGGAGGAAGGUGGGGAUGACGUCAAGUCAUCAUGGCCCUUACGACCAGGGCUACACACGUGCUACAAUGGCGCAUACAAAGAGAAGCGACCUCGCGAGAGCAAGCGGACCUCAUAAAGUGCGUCGUAGUCCGGAUUGGAGUCUGCAACUCGACUCCAUGAAGUCGGAAUCGCUAGUAAUCGUGGAUCAGAAUGCCACGGUGAAUACGUUCCCGGGCCUUGUACACACCGCCCGUCACACCAUGGGAGUGGGUUGCAAAAGAAGUAGGUAGCUUAACCUUCGGGGGGGCGCUUACCACUUUGUGAUUCAUGACUGGGGUGAAGUCGUAACAAGGUAACCGUAGGGGAACCUGCGGUUGGAUCACCU